Molecule: ribosomal RNA, 641 nt
Filed under: uncultured Lachnospiraceae bacterium
Lineage: Bacteria; Bacillati; Bacillota; Clostridia; Lachnospirales; Lachnospiraceae
Description: bacterial SSU rRNA
Rfam family: Bacterial small subunit ribosomal RNA
Source: RNAcentral
GGCGAACGGGUGAGUAACGCGUGAGUAACCUGCCCUGGAGUGGGGGACAACAGUUGGAAACGACUGCUAAUACCGCAUAAGCCCACGGAUCCGCAUGGAUCUGCGGGAAAAGGAUUUAUUCGCUUCAGGAUGGACUCGCGUCCAAUUAGCUAGUUGGUGAGGUAACGGCCCACCAAGGCGACGAUUGGUAGCCGGACUGAGAGGUUGAACGGCCACAUUGGGACUGAGACACGGCCCAGACUCCUACGGGAGGCAGCAGUGGGGGAUAUUGCACAAUGGGGGAAACCCUGAUGCAGCGACGCCGCGUGGAGGAAGAAGGUUUUCGGAUUGUAAACUCCUGUCGUUAGGGACGAUAAUGACGGUACCUAACAAGAAAGCACCGGCUAACUACGUGCCAGCAGCCGCGGUAAAACGUAGGGUGCAAGCGUUGUCCGGAAUUACUGGGUGUAAAGGGAGCGCAGGCGGACCGGCAAGUUGGAAGUGAAAACUAUGGGCUCAACCCAUAAAUUGCUUUCAAAACUGCUGGCCUUGAGUAGUGCAGAGGUAGGUGGAUUCCCGGUGUAGCGGUGGAAUGCGUAGAUAUCGGGAGGAACACCAGUGGCGAAGGCGACCUACUGGGCACCAACUGACGCUGAGGCUCG